Long non-coding RNA from Carassius auratus (goldfish), 602 nucleotides. RefSeq lists it as uncharacterized. Lineage: Eukaryota; Metazoa; Chordata; Actinopteri; Cypriniformes; Cyprinidae. The record is from RefSeq and is a predicted model, not a curated record. The transcript has 5 exons.
GAACUCCUGAAGUGUCAAAUUUCAAGCAGCAGAAGUUACUCCAAGGAGAUCUGGAAACUAUUUUUCACCAAAGCAAAUGAUGUUCUGGACGGAGCCCUCGUCAUAUUCUCCAGCGCAGCAGCAAAUAUGUCUCAGCCAAUCAGAGGUGAUGUCGUGUCCCAAGUGCUGGAUGUGGUUGGAGAGCUGAGACUGGAGCGCAUCAGUCCUGACCAAUGGACAGACCUCGCUUUCAUCAGCAUGUUGUUGGGUCAUAUCUGAAGCCGUUUUUUACCAUUUGCGUCACCAUCCCUACUGCUGUGCACCAGCAGCAAAAACCUCAGCUGCCAAACUUACCAGCACAUUCUGUCAGAGGUCCCACUCGUCAAUGAGAUUCAAGGAAGAGACAUGGCAAACUUCUUCAUUCUGCCCUUCCUGAGAAGAAACGCAACAGAUGCGGGCUGUGUGGCGACUGCUAACAACAGUGUUGAGUGGCUGCAGAAGAACUUUGGCCCGUUCUCUCAGUUCGUGUCUCUCACAGAUCUGAUCUCCAUCAACAGACUCUUUGAUCCCUUGGAGACCCUGGACAAUCUCACUCCCAAGCAGGUGGCUGGACUGUUGGUUGA